RNAcentral lists this ribosomal RNA (253 nucleotides) under Sutterella wadsworthensis. RNAcentral describes it as "partial 16S ribosomal RNA". It matches the Rfam family "Bacterial small subunit ribosomal RNA", at positions 524 to 776 of the family's 1533-position model. Lineage: Bacteria; Pseudomonadati; Pseudomonadota; Betaproteobacteria; Burkholderiales; Sutterellaceae. The record is from RNAcentral.
UACGUAGGGUGCAAGCGUUAAUCGGAAUUACUGGGCGUAAAGCGUGCGCAGGCGGUUCUGUAAGAUAGAUGUGAAAUCCCCGGGCUCAACCCGGGAAUUGCAUAUAUGACUGCAGGACUUGAGUUUGUCAGAGGAGGGUGGAAUUCCACGUGUAGCAGUGAAAUGCGUAGAUAUGUGGAAGAACACCGAUGGCGAAGGCAGCCCUCUGGGACAUGACUGACGCUCAUGCACGAAAGCGUGGGGAGCAAACAGG